Molecule: ribosomal RNA, 497 nt
Filed under: uncultured bacterium
Lineage: Bacteria
Description: partial 16S ribosomal RNA
Rfam family: Bacterial small subunit ribosomal RNA
Source: RNAcentral
GACGAACGCUGGCGGCGUGCCUAAUACAUGCAAGUUGAGCGCUGAAGGUUGGUACUUGUACCGACUGGAUGAGCAGCGAACGGGUGAGUAACGCGUGGGGAAUCUGCCUUUGAGCGGGGGACAACAUUUGGAAACGAAUGCUAAUACCGCAUAAAAACUUUAAACACAAGUUUUAAGUUUGAAAGAUGCAAUUGCAUCACUCAAAGAUGAUCCCGCGUUGUAUUAGCUAGUUGGUGAGGUAAAGGCUCACCAAGGCGAUGAUACAUAGCCGACCUGAGAGGGUGAUCGGCCACAUUGGGACUGAGACACGGCCCAAACUCCUACGGGAGGCAGCAGGAGGGAAUCUUCGGCAAUGGACGAAAGUCUGACCGAGCAACGCCGCGUGAGUGAAGAAGGGUUUCGGAUCGUAAAACUCUGUUGGUAGAGAAGAACGUUGGUGAGAGUGGAAAGCUCAUCAAGUGACGGUAACUACCCAGAAAGGGACGGCUAACUACGUG